CACACCGUCCGUCACACCAUGGGAGUUUGUUGCACCAGAAGCAGGUAGCUUAACCUUCGGGAGGGCGCUUGCCACGGUGUGGCCGAUGACUGGGGUG
RNAcentral lists this ribosomal RNA (97 nucleotides) under uncultured bacterium. Its description in RNAcentral is "partial 16S ribosomal RNA". It matches the Rfam family "Bacterial small subunit ribosomal RNA", at positions 1386 to 1482 of the family's 1533-position model. The record is from RNAcentral.